CCGUCCCCUCUGUGCUCUGUGGUAGACCAAAGCCAAGCACUUCAAGCAAGAACAAUAAGUGUGUUUUAACCAGUUUUAACGUUUGUUUGAUCAAGUUUGGCGACAUAAUGGGAAUUGUGAAAGCAGAUUUAUUUCUAGAUGGUGUUUGCCGGCAGACAGAUAGAUAAUCCAGCGCACUAGUCCGUAACGGCCAAACUUGAAAUUUGAAUUCCCCUGAGCGUUGGUCCGAGUUUCGGCUUCCGUUGGCUCUUAACUGGGAUCUUGGAGUGGGUUCACACAGGAAUGACUUCCUGUCUCUGGAUCUAUAGCGACUACCUUACGGAGAUAUCCUCACAAAUGUUACAAACUGUGUGCCGUGGGUUAUCCUCAUAUUGCAGCCGACUCCUUCACCACUGAUAACUAAAAUGGCAUUCAGUUUCAUGGUAUCAGAGCAAGUUUUUGAUAUCGGCAACAAAUACUUGCUAGGAAACAGUCAACUCCAGGUCUCCGAGAUAUUUGCCUUACAGUCAGCAAGCAAGCUGUGGAAUGGGCGGGCGGAAAAGUUCUCCUUCACUGCAUGGCUCUUGUAUCUUGCUCAGUUCCCACAGCAUUUUUAAACGUGCUGAGUCUCUUCCAGGGUGAGGAAUUAGUGGCCAUUUAAAAGACAGUAGGCCUUGUUAGCUUCACUCUGCUUGUUAAUUAUUGUAUCUUGUAACUGAGGUGGUAUCUUACGGCGUUCUCAGUAAAGCAAAUCUCGUGGUGAAUUUGGAAGGCAGACAUUUAAUUUU
Molecule: long non-coding RNA, 767 nt
Organism: Thrips palmi
Lineage: Eukaryota; Metazoa; Arthropoda; Insecta; Thysanoptera; Thripidae
Exons: 4
Source: RefSeq, a predicted model, not a curated record